RNAcentral lists this ribosomal RNA (497 nucleotides) under uncultured bacterium. RNAcentral's name for it is "partial 16S ribosomal RNA". It matches the Rfam family "Bacterial small subunit ribosomal RNA", at positions 28 to 507 of the family's 1533-position model. The record is from RNAcentral.
GAUGAACGCUGGCGGCGUGCCUAAUACAUGCAAGUCGAGCGAACAGAUGAGGAGCUUGCUCCUCUGACGUUAGCGGCGGACGGGUGAGUAACACGUGGAUAACCUACCUAUAAGACUGGGAUAACUUCGGGAAACCGGAGCUAAUACCGGAUAAUAUAUUGAACCGCAUGGUUCAAUAGUGAAAGACGGUUUUGCUGUCACUUAUAGAUGGAUCCGCGCCGCAUUAGCUAGUUGGUAAGGUAACGGCUUACCAAGGCAACGAUGCGUAGCCGACCUGAGAGGGUGAUCGGCCACACUGGAACUGAGACACGGUCCAGACUCCUACGGGAGGCAGCAGUAGGGAAUCUUCCGCAAUGGGCGAAAGCUUGACGGAGCAACGCCGCGUGAGUGAUGAAGGUCUUCGGAUCGUAAAACUCUGUUAUUAGGGAAGAACAAAUGUGUAAGUAACUAUGCACGUCUUGACGGCACCUAAUCAGAAAGCCACGGCUAACUACGUG